CCUACGGGAGGCUGCAGUAGGGAAUAUUGCUCAAUGGGGGAAACCCUGAAGCAGCAACGCCGCGUGGAGGAUGAAGGUUUUCGGAUUGUAAACUCCUUUUGUUAGAGAAGAUAAUGACGGUAUCUAACGAAUAAGCACCGGCUAACUCCGUGCCAGCAGCCGCGGUAAUACGGCGGGUGCAAGCGUUCCUCGGAAUCACUGGGCGUAAAGAGCGCGUAGGCGGGAUAGCAAGUCAGAUGUUAAAUCCUAUGGCUUAACCAUAGAACUGCAUUUGAAACUGUUAUUCUAGAGUAUGGGAGAGGUAUGUGGAAUUCUUGGUGUAGGGGUGAAAUCCGUAGAGAUCAAGAGGAAUACUGAUUGCGAAGGCGACCUGCUGGAACUUAACUGACGCUGAUGCGCGAAAGCGUGGGUAGCAAACAGGAUUAGAUACCCCGGUAGUC
This 440-nucleotide ribosomal RNA is filed under the name uncultured bacterium. RNAcentral describes it as "partial 16S ribosomal RNA". It matches the Rfam family "Bacterial small subunit ribosomal RNA", at positions 338 to 795 of the family's 1533-position model. The record is from RNAcentral.